This 301-nucleotide ribosomal RNA is filed under the name uncultured bacterium. Its description in RNAcentral is "partial 16S ribosomal RNA". It matches the Rfam family "Bacterial small subunit ribosomal RNA", at positions 509 to 809 of the family's 1533-position model. The record is from RNAcentral.
CAGUAGCCACGGUAAUACAGAGGGUGCGAGCGUUAAUCGGAUUUACUGGGCGUAAAGCGUGCGUAGGCGGCUUUUUAAGUCGGAUGUGAAAUCCCUGAGCUUAACUUAGGAAUUGCAUUCGAUACUGGGAAGCUAGAGUAUGGGAGAGGAUGGUAGAAUUCCAGGUGUAGCGGUGAAAUGCGUAGAGAUCUGGAGGAAUACCGAUGGCGAAGGCAGCCAUCUGGCCUAAUACUGACGCUGAGGUACGAAAGCAUGGGGAGCAAACAGGAUUAGAUACCCCCGUAGUCCCUGUCUUUAUACA